AAACCCAUCUGUUUCACUGGACAAUGAUCAUGAAGGUUGUGCUGCCAGGAUGAGGUUAUCCCAUUGCACUCCGGGUGUGCUGACACAUGCGAUGUCCCCAAAUACGAGAUACUCGGCUGCAAAAUCUGUGGUAGUGGGGGACUGCGUUCGCGCUGACCCCGA
Small nuclear RNA from Carcharodon carcharias (great white shark), 162 nucleotides. RefSeq annotates it as U1 spliceosomal RNA. The record is from RefSeq and is a predicted model, not a curated record. The transcript has a single exon. NCBI's taxonomy places the organism in Eukaryota, Metazoa, Chordata, Chondrichthyes, Lamniformes, Lamnidae.